RNAcentral lists this ribosomal RNA (273 nucleotides) under Candidatus Omnitrophota bacterium. RNAcentral describes it as "partial 23S ribosomal RNA". It matches the Rfam family "Bacterial large subunit ribosomal RNA", at positions 2642 to 2925 of the family's 2925-position model. The record is from RNAcentral. Lineage: Bacteria; Pseudomonadati; Candidatus Omnitrophota.
CUGAUGCAGGCGCAGGAUAUUUGUGGGGCCCUGUCCCUAGUACGAGAGGACCGGGACAGACGAACCUACGGUGUUCCAGUUGUCACGCCAGUGGCAAUGGCUGGGUAGCCGCGUUCGGAAAAGAUAAAUGCUGAAUGCAUAUAAGCGUGAAGCCUUCCCCGAGAAUAGAUAUCCCUGAAGACGCCUUGGAGACUACAAGGUUGAUAGGCAGCAAGUGUAAGAGCCGUAAGGCUUUCAGCUUAGCUGUACUAAUCCGUCGUCAGGCUUGACCAU